GACGAACCGUCCUAACGUUGUUCGGAAUCACUGGGCUUAAAGGGCGCGUAGGCGGCCCGUCAAGUCGGGGGUGAAAGCCCACGGCCCAACCGUGGAAGGGCCUCCGAUACUGACGGGCUCGAGGGAGGUAGGGGCAGGUGGAACUUCCGGUGGAGCGGUGAAAUGCGUUGAUAUCGGAAGGAACGCCGGUGGCGAAAGCGACCUGCUGGACCUCUUCUGACGCUGAGGCGCGAAAGCCAGGGGAGCGAACGGG
This 253-nucleotide ribosomal RNA is filed under the name uncultured bacterium. Its description in RNAcentral is "partial 16S ribosomal RNA". It matches the Rfam family "Bacterial small subunit ribosomal RNA", at positions 524 to 776 of the family's 1533-position model. The record is from RNAcentral.